GAAAUGUUCGUUUUAGUUUUUUAUGCAUUGUUGGAGUUAAUUUAUGCUGGCACUUAGGUGAUUGGUAGAGAGAAACUCUACCAAGUAAAAUCAAAGGAAGAAAAUCAAAAGAAAACUAAGAAAAGAAGAUAAAAUAAAACUUUGUCAAUUUUCUUGUUAAUCUUUCAUAAUGGAAUCCAUACAACUUAUACUAACUAUCCACUCUAAGGGAUGAAAGGUGACCUUACAUGUGGCACCAUCAUAGAAAGUAGAAUAUUCUAGAACAUGAUCUAAAUAAUAAACUAGAAAUAAACAUAGAAAUAAUAAUAACUAAUUAUAAUUGGCAUAGUAACUUGAGGCCCAUAAAUGAUGUAGCUAUAGAAGCCCAUUGAGAAUGCAACCCUCUACCAUUACCAUCCCCUUGAAAACAUCCUUGUCCUCAAGGAUGGAAAAGUGAGCUAGCCAUGCAACAAGAAAGAUCCAUGCUAGGAGAGUAAUGUCAAUGAGGCCAAGUCCAGGAAAAGAAGUAACUGUCAUGUUAAAUGAAAGCACCAAGGUAGCAUGAAGGGCCAAUAGAGUGACUUGAUGUGGUGUGUAGUAACAAAAAAUGCCUUGUGUGCUGUCCCAUGAAGCAAGAAGUUCACGCCAUUUAAUUUCAUGGCCAAUGGGGAAGCCUAGCCACGCUAUUAAGCUUUGUUGGAAAGACAAUUCAAGUGGUGGACAUAGGGAAGUCUUGUAAGACCAGCCCAAUAUAAGAAAGACCCAAUUGAAAGAGUGUUGAGCAUGGUGAGCAAGCUUCGUUUGACCCCUUGUGAACAAGUGGGGUAGCCAUGCAAGGAUGAGAAUCCAAGUAAGAAGAGAACAAUAUGUGACAUUGUGAAGCACUGAAGCAAGCAGUGACUGUAAGAGUUUAAUUCUCUGGUGCUCAAGCCACACGGUUUGUGCAGCAAAGCUGGACCAAUCGAAGAGCUUAGGUGCUGCCACAUUUAAUGACAAAGAGUACGCAGACACAGUUUGUGUUUGCAAGUCCUCAAAGAUGAGAAAAUGAGCCCGCCAAGCAACGAGAAGGAUCCAUGUGAGGAGCGUACCGAGACUUGGGCCAAGUCCAUGAGUGAGCCCCAACCUUUGCUCCAGGACGCAGAAAGAAAUAAGGAAGGUUGUUGUGGGAGGAAUGGAAAAUGCUAGUAGGCUCAACAUGGGAAAAUCAUUUGGAAUUGGGCCUAUCCAAAAACAGAUUCCACAUAUUUGGCUAUGAAGCAUUUCAUCAUGGUAGUUGCAAUAAGAGAGCAAUGCUGUUUGCAGCAAAAGAACAUGUGUGCAUGGCCUAAUAAAAGACACCUUGUUCCAAUUUGUUUCCACAUUGCCAAAUGAAUUAUAUGCUACCGAGGUAGGGCCCGUGGGUAAAAGAAUUUCCCAUUCCAUGUACCAAGUGGGAUGCACGAACCCCAUGAGUGAAAGAAAAUGGGAAUUCAACUCUUCAUGCCUAGCAUCCCAUGGUCUUUGACAAUGUGUCCCUAUGGAGCUUGGAACAGGGAAAAGUAAGUGGAUCACAACCAAUGGAGCACAAUCACACUGCGUACAAGUGCUUUGAUAUGUUGCCGUAGAGUGCAUUGAAUCAUGGAGAAAAGGUUUGAGCAAACCCUCCUCAAAAUACAGUAAGCAUCUUGUCAAUUUAUACCGUGUUAUAUGUGCUUUGGAGCUGAAGAUAGCUUCUCCUGCUAGUGAGGAAGAACUGAUCCAAAAUGUAGUCCCAAUUGCUAGAUAGGAGUCUAAAAGGAAUAUAGCAAGUUGUCCCAGAGCAGAGGUGCUUGCCUCAAGUUCACCAUCAACCUUGGUAGCAGUAGAUAUAUCACAAGAGCUUAACCAAGCAGGAUGAAAAUGCCUAGCAGGCCAGUCAAAAAUAUUAGCUGUAGAUGUCUGAGUAACAUAGGUCAAUGUAGCAGGAUGAAGGUAAAUCAACUUCAAAUUAUCAGUAGCACAUAUAGCCAAGUUACCAUUGGCUAAAAUGGAAACAACAACAUGAAUUCCAGGAUCAAACAGUGUGAUAAUCAUUUCAUGUAAUGCGGUAUCAACAUGAUUUUCAAAAUGAGUAGUAUUAGCAAGUAUCUUCAAAAGUUUCUUCUCAUGCAUUUUAUCAAACAUAUGGUGCGGGAUUCGAUGAGUUAUGUCUCUUGGAAUGAGAAGUGAGUCAGAGUUCAAUUCAAGGAUUGUACCAGGUGACCUUGUAGGUAUGUUGCCCUCUUGGCUAGAUAGAACGCAUGACGUUGCCAUAGAGAUAGACAUAGAGCUGAGAAUAAGUUCAGCUAUGGAUGCCCAAUCAAAAUCCGUGUGACCAUAGCUUUUCCACAAUGAAAAUCUCAUAGGUGUGGCUUGUAUAGGAUAAGCAUUGGGCUGACCUCCAAAGGCAGAGUAGUGCAAAACUGAAUCUCUUGUAGCAUGUCUUGAGAUAGCAGCAUAGUUAGGUUAAUCAAAUACCAGAGUUAACAUAGCAACCACUUGAACAAUGCCAGGAUCAAAUAGUUUCAUACCAGGUCCAGAUAAUGAUGAAAGUGCAAUCUCUGAUGUCAAAUUCAUUGGUCUCAUCCUCUGCCAGUCAAGUAAUAGGUUGAUGUAUGUUUCUAAUAGCUUUUCAAAAGUAUUAUCAACACAUAUCCUCGUAUUCCUUGUCACAAGCAUUUUCUCAAACACCUUAGGACAUGGAACCCCAAUUUUUUGUACAUCAACAGUAGUGCUUGAAUUGUGAAAUUGCAUAAGCAACUUGUCAAAAUGCUUUUCAAAUUGAGCCUCAUUAUUUUUCUGCACAAACUUACCCUCAAGCAAAUUUCCAAACACUUGGCGGGGGUUCCUAAGAACUAAGUCAGUUGUUUUCAAAACAAAUGUUUUGUUUACAUCAGGAGUAAUAGCAUCUGACCUUGUUGCAUAUGGGGUUGAAUCAACUGGGGUAGUGAUGAGAGAGGAGUCCUCGGAUGUAGAUGACUCGUGGGAUUCAAUCUCUGUUUCUGCACUACCCAAUUCCACCCUAGAAACCACCUCAGGUAGGAGAUGCACGUCUGAAGAAGCCUCAAACGGGAGCUGAGCUCCAUCCUCCAGUGUUGUUUCACUGAAAACAACCCUAUGAGGAGAAACUUGUUCAGAGCUUCUCUGAAUCUCAACCAAUGAAGAUUUCUCAAACCCAUAUUUGACUGUGGUUGUAGAAAAUCCGUUGGGUCUGUUGUAGACAAAGUACAAUCGGAACGCAACUUUGAAUUCCUCCCAGCUAUGGAUCUGUUGGUGGCUCAAUCGGAACCAUGUCAGGGCCUUGCCACCCAGAUGUAUUGCCAAGAGCUGGAACCGUGUUUCCCAUGGGUAGGGAUUUUGAAGGAAAUAGCAAUCUGCCAUGAACAACCAGUAUUCAGGGUUCUCUCCAUUGAACUCCGAGAGCUGCAGACUUGAAUGUGUUUGUGGGUAAUAAGAUGGGACAUUGUGACAGUAAUAAGGUGAUGUAUUGGGCUGAGAUGGGGGACUGUAGAAGAUGGAUCGGGGAUCACGUUGUGCGGAAAGGAUGGAUGAUAAUACAUCAUAGUUGAGCACCAUGAUGCAAUGGAAGGAAGAGAUCAAUGAUGAAAGCACCAAAUUGGUAGAGAGAAACUCUACCAAGUAAAAUCAAAGGAAGAAAAUCAAAAGAAAACUAAGAAAAGAAGAUAAAAUAAAACUUUGUCAAUUUUCUUGUUAAUCUUUCAUAAUGGAAUCCAUACAACUUAUACUAACUAUCCACUCUAAGGGAUGAAAGGUGACCUUACAUGUGGCACCAUCAUAGAAAGUAGAAUAUUCUAGAACAUGAUCUAAAUAAUAAACUAGAAAUAAACAUAGAAAUAAUAAUAACUAAUUAUAAUUGGCAUAGUAACUUGAGGCCCAUAAAUGAUGUAGCUAUAGAAGCCCAUUGAGAAUGCAACCCUCUACCAGUGAUACAUGAUAAUGAUUUACUGGCGGAUUGCGGAGAAACAAUUUAUUAUCUUCAAGUAAUUCAUAAAAAGGUGAAAUCAAGGAAAUAAUCUGUCUUAAUGAACUGGAUUCAGCUGACAAAGCUGUCAAUUAGAUUAUAUCAUAUUUUGAGAUUCUGGGAACCCAGAGCAAACAUGCUGGCUG
Molecule: long non-coding RNA, 4104 nt
Filed under: Lotus japonicus
Lineage: Eukaryota; Viridiplantae; Streptophyta; Magnoliopsida; Fabales; Fabaceae
Description: long non-coding RNA (LJAP_LNC001318)
Source: RNAcentral